UACGUAGGGGGCGAGCGUUGUCCGGAGUUACUGGGCGUAAAGCGCACGCAGGCGGUCUGCUAAGUUUGGAGUGACAGUUGGUGGCUUAACUGCCAAAGUGCUUCGAAAACUGACAGACUUGAGGGCUUCAGAGGGACACGGAAUUCCGGGUGGAGUGGUGAAAUGCGUAGAGAUCCGGAGGAACACCAAAGGCGAAGGCAGUGUCCUGGGGAGUACCUGACGCUCGAGGUGCGAAAGCCAGGGGAGCGAACGGGGA
This 256-nucleotide ribosomal RNA is filed under the name uncultured bacterium. Its description in RNAcentral is "partial 16S ribosomal RNA". It matches the Rfam family "Bacterial small subunit ribosomal RNA", at positions 524 to 778 of the family's 1533-position model. The record is from RNAcentral.